Molecule: ribosomal RNA, 430 nt
Filed under: uncultured bacterium
Lineage: Bacteria
Description: partial 16S ribosomal RNA
Rfam family: Bacterial small subunit ribosomal RNA
Source: RNAcentral
GUGGGGAAUAUUGGACAAUGGGCGAAAGCCUGAUCCAGCAACGCCGCGUGAGGGAUGACGGCCUUCGGGUUGUAAACCUCUUUCAGCAGGGACGAAGCGAAAGUGACGGUACCUGCAGAAGAAGGACCGGCCAACUACGUGCCAGCAGCCGCGGUAAUACGUAGGGUCCGAGCGUUGUCCGGAAUUAUUGGGCGUAAAGGGCUCGUAGGCGGUCUGUCGCGUCGGGAGUGAAAACUCAGGGCUCAACCCUGAGCGUGCUUCCGAUACGGGCAGACUAGAGGUAUGCAGGGGAGAACGGAAUUCCUGGUGUAGCGGUGGAAUGCGCAGAUAUCAGGAGGAACACCGGUGGCGAAGGCGGUUCUCUGGGCAUUACCUGACGCUGAGGAGCGAAAGCAUGGGGAGCGAACAGGAUUAGAUACCCCUGUAGUCC